AUUGAACGCUGGCGGCAGGCUUAACACAUGCAAGUCGAGCGGGGGAAGGUAGCUUGCUACUGGACCUAGCGGCGGACGGGUGAGUAAUGCUUAGGAAUCUGCCUAUUAGUGGGGGACAACAUCUCGAAAGGGAUGCUAAUACCGCAUACGUCCUACGGGAGAAAGCAGGGGAUCUUCGGACCUUGCGCUAUAGAUGAGCCUAAGUCGGAUUAGCUAGUUGGUGGGGUAAAGGCCUACCAAGGCGACGAUCUGUAGCGGGUCUGAGAGGAUGAUCCGCCACACUGGGACUGAGACACGGCCCAGACUCCUACGGGAGGCAGCAGUGGGGAAUAUUGGACAAUGGGGGGAACCCUGAUCCAGCCAUGCCGCGUGUGUGAAGAAGGCCUUAUGGUUGUAAUGCACUUUAAGCGAGGAGGAGGCUACUUUAGUUAAUACCUAGAGAUAGUGGACGUUACUCGCAGAAUAAGCACCGGCUAACUCUGUGCCAGCCGCCGCCGUAA
This 500-nucleotide ribosomal RNA is filed under the name uncultured bacterium. RNAcentral describes it as "partial 16S ribosomal RNA". It matches the Rfam family "Bacterial small subunit ribosomal RNA", at positions 30 to 523 of the family's 1533-position model. The record is from RNAcentral.